UAAGGGGUGCCCUAAUAUGACGGGCUGAGAUCAUACCCAUUGACCUGAUCCGGGUAGUGCCGGCGGAGGAAAAAGUG
This 77-nucleotide non-coding RNA is filed under the name uncultured Bacteroides sp. Lineage: Bacteria; Pseudomonadati; Bacteroidota; Bacteroidia; Bacteroidales; Bacteroidaceae. The record is from RNAcentral.